RNAcentral lists this transfer RNA (63 nucleotides) under Typhlocyba sp. EMHAU-15062510. RNAcentral's name for it is "tRNA-Arg". Lineage: Eukaryota; Metazoa; Arthropoda; Insecta; Hemiptera; Cicadellidae. The record is from RNAcentral.
AACAAAGAAGUAAAAUUUACAUUUAGUUUCGACCUAAAUUUAGGAAAGUAAUAACCCAUGUUU